Molecule: RNA transcript, 1287 nt
Organism: Quercus robur (English oak)
Lineage: Eukaryota; Viridiplantae; Streptophyta; Magnoliopsida; Fagales; Fagaceae
Exons: 3
Source: RefSeq, a predicted model, not a curated record
CAUUUCCCCCCACCCUCCACCUCCACAAAACUCUUUCCCUUCAAACCAAUACAUACAUACACACAUAAACAUUCCCUCCCUCCCAAUCCCCAUUUCCCUCCCCUCUCUAACAUGCGCCACCUCCUCGUCCCCACCACCGCCGCCACCGCCACCACUAUGCGCUCCUCCUCCUCUUCCUCCUCCUCCCUCAAAACCCCAAAAUCCCCAAACCCUAACAACAACAACAACAACAACAACCAACACUGCUCUUCUCAUCCCCACACCCAUUCUCUCCUCUGCAAACACUCUCCCUCCGCCACGCUCGACCUCCUGAUCCUGAUCCUAGUCCUCUUCUCCGGCUCCUUCCUCCUCUCCUCCUACUUCUCCUACCUCUUCAACUCCCUCUCUCUCCUCCUCUCCCACCACUCCCUCUCCUUCUCCCUCUCCUUCUCUCUCCCUCUCUCCCUCCCUUACUUCCUCUCCUUCCUCCUCUUCUUCGCCCUCUCCGCCACCCUCGCCGACUUCUGCUGCGGCGCCAGAUCUCGCCGCUGCAGCAACCCGUCCUGCAAGGGACUCAAAAAGGCCUUGGAGUUUGAUCUCCAGUUGCAGACUGAGGACUCUCUCAAAUCCAAAUCUUCCAAAGAUUUCAUCGAUCGCUUGCCUUGGAAAGGCGGCACCGAGGCUAAUCCCGACUACGAGUGCCUCCGAUCCGAGCUCAGAAAGAUGGCUCCCCCUAAUGGCCGCGCCGUUUUGCUCUUCCGUGCUCGGUGUGGCUGUCCCGUCGCCAAGCUCGAGGGAUGGGGACCUAAGCGUGGGCGGCGCCAUAAGAAGCCUUUGUUGUUACCCCUGGUGCCUACCUCCACUUCUGUAAAAAGAAAGAAAAGAGGAUAAAAAGGUGAAGUUCAUCAUUGUUGAUGGUGAUCUCCCAAAUUAUGAGGAUAUGGGUCAGUAAUUUGGCAUUUUGGAGCUCUGGCCAAUGUGGCAGUUAAUGGGGGAGGAGAUCAUCGCUGAUUGUUUCUGAUGCAUCAUCAGGGCCUACUUAUAUAUUUACCUUUCUCCUCCUGUCACCUCUCAGACUUUCUAUGAUCUUUCUCAAAGAUUAAUCUCAUUAUUAAAACAAUUUUUUCAAUCCUAUAAUCUGAUAGUACUUCUAUAUGUCUGAACUGAAACAACCUUCCCUGUAUCUGCAUUACCUUGGAUAUUACACUCAUUUAAGGAAGGAUACACAAAAUCAUAUGCCAAUAAACAUAUGACAUGCUAAAUGGAUAUUUAUCUCAGCUUUAAAUAAAUUACUGUAGUUGUUCCGUA